RNAcentral lists this unclassified non-coding RNA (260 nucleotides) under uncultured fungus. RNAcentral describes it as "partial contains 5.8S ribosomal RNA, internal transcribed spacer 2, and large subunit ribosomal RNA". The stretch from base 1 to 52 matches the Rfam family "5.8S ribosomal RNA", at positions 103 to 154 of the family's 154-position model. Lineage: Eukaryota; Fungi. The record is from RNAcentral.
AACGCACAUUGCGCCCAUUGGUAUUCCGAUGGGCAUGCCUGUUCGAGCGUCAUUAUCCUCUCUCUAAGCUUCUGCUUGGGUGUUGGACCGAGUUGUGGCAACGCAACUGGUCUCAAAGACAAUGACGGCGUCCGUGGGACCCUCUUCGCAACGAGUCUUUCGAGGCACGCGGGGAGUUGCAAGGUCCCGUCGGGUCGGUCUAACCUUUAUAUUUUUCUCAGGUUGACCUCGGAUCAGGUAGGAAUACCCGCUGAACUUAA